This 492-nucleotide ribosomal RNA is filed under the name uncultured bacterium. RNAcentral's name for it is "partial 16S ribosomal RNA". It matches the Rfam family "Bacterial small subunit ribosomal RNA", at positions 29 to 507 of the family's 1533-position model. The record is from RNAcentral.
AGUGAACGCUGGCGGUAGGCCUAACACAUGCAAGUCGAACGGCAGCACAGUAAGAGCUUGCUCUUACGGGUGGCGAGUGGCGGACGGGUGAGGAAUACAUCGGAAUCUACUUUUUCGUGGGGGAUAACGUAGGGAAACUUACGCUAAUACCGCAUACGACCUACGGGUGAAAGCAGGGGAUCUUCGGACCUUGCGCGAUUGAAUGAGCCGAUGUCGGAUUAGCUAGUUGGCGGGGUAAAGGCCCACCAAGGCGACGAUCCGUAGCUGGUCUGAGAGGAUGAUCAGCCACACUGGAACUGAGACACGGUCCAGACUCCUACGGGAGGCAGCAGUGGGGAAUAUUGGACAAUGGGCGCAAGCCUGAUCCAGCCAUACCGCGUGUGUGAAGAAGGCCAUCGGGUUGUAAAGCCCUUUUGUUGGGAAAGAAAAGCAGCAGGUUAAUACCCCGCUGUUCUGACGGUACCCAAAGAAUAAGCACCGGCUAACUUCGUG